This 500-nucleotide ribosomal RNA is filed under the name uncultured bacterium. RNAcentral describes it as "partial 16S ribosomal RNA". It matches the Rfam family "Bacterial small subunit ribosomal RNA", at positions 30 to 523 of the family's 1533-position model. The record is from RNAcentral.
AUUGAACGCUGGCGGCAUGCCUUACACAUGCAAGUCGAACGGCAGCACGGGAGCAAUCCUGGUGGCGAGUGGCGAACGGGUGAGUAAAGUAUCGGAACGUGCCCAGUCGUGGGGGAUAACGUAGCGAAAGUUACGCUAAUACCGCAUACGAUCUACGGAUGAAAGCGGGGGAUCGCAAGACCUCGCGCGAUUGGAGCGGCUGAUAUCAGAUUAGGUAGUUGGUGGGGUAAAGGCUCACCAAGCCGACGAUCUGUAGCUGGUCUGAGAGGACGACCAGCCACACUGGGACUGAGACCCGGCCCAGACGCCUACGGUAGGCAGCAGUGGGGAAUUUUGGACAAUGGGCGCAAGCCUGAUCCAGCCAUGCCGCGUGCAGGAUGAAGGCCUUCGGGUUGUAAACUGCUUUUGUACGGAACGAAAAGGUUUGGCCUAAUAAGCUGGACCCAUGACGGUACCGUAAGAAUAAGCACCGGCUAACUACGUGCCAGUCGCCGCCGUAA